Molecule: ribosomal RNA, 736 nt
Filed under: Weissella paramesenteroides
Lineage: Bacteria; Bacillati; Bacillota; Bacilli; Lactobacillales; Lactobacillaceae
Description: bacterial SSU rRNA
Rfam family: Bacterial small subunit ribosomal RNA
Source: RNAcentral
UGAUCUGACGAGCUUGCUCUGAUUUGAUUUUAUCUGACAAAGAGUGGCGAACGGGUGAGUAACACGUGGGUAACCUACCUCUUAGCAGGGGAUAACAUUUGGAAACAAGUGCUAAUACCGUAUAAUACCAACAACCGCAUGGUUGUUGGUUGAAAGAUGGUUCUGCUAUCACUAAGAGAUGGACCCGCGGUGCAUUAGCUAGUUGGUAAGGUAACGGCUUACCAAGGCAAUGAUGCAUAGCCGAGUUGAGAGACUGAUCGGCCACAAUGGGACUGAGACACGGCCCAUACUCCUACGGGAGGCAGCAGUAGGGAAUCUUCCACAAUGGGCGCAAGCCUGAUGGAGCAACGCCGCGUGUGUGAUGAAGGGUUUCGGCUCGUAAAACACUGUUAUAAGAGAAGAACGGCACUGAGAGUAACUGUUCAGUGUGUGACGGUAUCUUACCAGAAAGGAACGGCUAAAUACGUGCCAGCAGCCGCGGUAAUACGUAUGUUCCAAGCGUUAUCCGGAUUUAUUGGGCGUAAAGCGAGCGCAGACGGUUAUUUAAGUCUGAAGUGAAAGCCCUCAGCUCAACUGAGGAAUGGCUUUGGAAACUGGAUGACUUGAGUGCAGUAGAGGAAAGUGGAACUCCAUGUGUAGCGGUGAAAUGCGUAGAUAUAUGGAAGAACACCAGUGGCGAAGGCGGCUUUCUGGACUGUAACUGACGUUGAGGCUCGAAAGUGUGGGUAGCAAACAG